GAUCUGGUAGCUCAGUUGGUAGAGCAUCUCCCUUUUAAGGAGAGGGUCCAGGGUUCGAGCCCCUGCCAGAUCACCA
RNAcentral lists this transfer RNA (76 nucleotides) under Flavobacteriales bacterium. RNAcentral describes it as "tRNA-Lys". It matches the Rfam family "tRNA". Rfam says of the family: Transfer RNA (tRNA) molecules are approximately 80 nucleotides in length. Their secondary structure includes four short double-helical elements and three loops (D, anti-codon, and T loops). Further hydrogen bonds mediate the characteristic L-shaped molecular structure. tRNAs have two regions of fundamental functional importance: the anti-codon, which is responsible for specific mRNA codon recognition, and the 3' end, to which the tRNAs corresponding amino acid is attached (by aminoacyl-tRNA synthetases). tRNAs cope with the degeneracy of the genetic code in two manners: having more than one tRNA (with a specific anti-codon) for a particular amino acid; and 'wobble' base-pairing, i.e. permitting non-standard base-pairing at the 3rd anti-codon position. Lineage: Bacteria; Pseudomonadati; Bacteroidota; Flavobacteriia; Flavobacteriales. The record is from RNAcentral.